RNAcentral lists this ribosomal RNA (527 nucleotides) under Metarhizium anisopliae. RNAcentral's name for it is "eukaryotic LSU rRNA". The stretch from base 169 to 322 matches the Rfam family "5.8S ribosomal RNA". The record is from RNAcentral. Lineage: Eukaryota; Fungi; Ascomycota; Sordariomycetes; Hypocreales; Clavicipitaceae.
UUUCCGUAGGUGAACCUGCGGAGGGAUCAUUACCGAGUUAUCCAACUCCCAACCCCUGUGAAUCAUACCUUUAAUUGUUGCUUCGGCGGGACUUCGCGCCCGCCGGGGACCCAAACCUUCUGAAUUUUUUAAUAAGUAUCUUCUGAGUGGUUAAAAAAAAUGAAUCAAAACUUUCAACAACGGAUCUCUUGGUUCUGGCAUCGAUGAAGAACGCAGCGAAAUGCGAUAAGUAAUGUGAAUUGCAGAAUUCAGUGAAUCAUCGAAUCUUUGAACGCACAUUGCGCCCGUCAGUAUUCUGGCGGGCAUGCCUGUUCGAGCGUCAUUACGCCCCUCAAGUCCCCUGUGGACUUGGUGUUGGGGAUCGGCGAGGCUGGUUUUCCAGCACAGCCGUCCCUUAAAUUAAUUGGCGGUCUCGCCGUGGCCCUCCUCUGCGCAGUAGUAAAGCACUCGCAACAGGAGCCCGGCGCGGUCCACUGCCGUAAAACCCCCCAACUUUUUAUAGUUGACCUCGAAUCAGGUAGAUACCC